This 445-nucleotide ribosomal RNA is filed under the name uncultured bacterium. RNAcentral's name for it is "partial 16S ribosomal RNA". It matches the Rfam family "Bacterial small subunit ribosomal RNA", at positions 354 to 796 of the family's 1533-position model. The record is from RNAcentral.
GUGAGGAAUAUUGGUCAAUGGGCGAGAGCCUGAACCAGCCAAGUAGCGUGAAGGAAGAAGGAUCUAUGGUUCGUAAACUUCUUUUGCAGGGGAAUAAAGUGCAGGACGUGUCCUGUUUUGUAUGUACCCUGAGAAUAAGGAUCGGCUAACUCCGUGCCAGCAGCCGCGGUAAUACGGAGGAUCCGAGCGUUAUCCGGAUUUAUUGGGUUUAAAGGGUGCGUAGGUGGUUUGAUAAGUCAGCGGUGAAAGUUUGCAGCUUAACUGUAAAAAUGGCGUGGAAACUGUCGGACUUGAGUGUAAAUGAGGUAGGCGGAAGGCUUUGUGUAGCGGUGAAAUUCAUAGAUAUCACGCAGAACUCCGAUUGCGAAUGCAGCUUACUAAGCUACAACUGACACUGAAGCACGAAAGCGUGGGGAUCAAACAGGAUUAGAAACCCCGGUAGUCC